UCUCCCCCCCCCCCCAGUCUACCGCAGAGCGUGUUCGCACGCGCAUGCGAGAGGGCCGCGCCUCUUCCCAGUGCAGCCGGCAGGUCAGCUCCUGAGCGGGUGGAGAAGGGCAGUGGGCCUCCGCUCUGUCUUUUUCGGGCCCGUAAUCUCUACGUUACCGGCUUUGCCCAUUCCUAAUAUUUUAAUAGUGGAGGCAAAGUGGACCCUCGCGCCCGGAGGCGACAGAAACGCCCGACGCCUCCUUCCCUCAGAUGCGCGCGUGGCCAUCGCUCGACUCUCUUUUCCGGGUUUCCAGCCUUGGAGGCCUUGAGCCAAGUCUCAGUCAUUCAAGGCCACAGAGGAAGUUCUCUCAGGUCCCUUUUCAACGGUUUGCUAUAUUUGCUACAUGUUUGAAAGGGCAGGAAAAACGUGCGGGCGUAACGGGAGGCUCAGGCCUAACGCUGCGAUCCGUUUUACUUUUUAAAUUAAGCUGUGGAGCCAUCUUGGGAAAUGUACCGAUCCCAGUACAGUAUAGUUGACCAAAUACAAAAGGUGACCUUGGCCGUUUUCAGUUGUUUUUUCAGUCUUUUAUUAUGUGUUGUAUAUGAACUUGCUCCAAAGGGCUUGGUGUUUAUCCAUGUGUGUCUGAAUAUUAAAGUUCCAGUUUAAACUGCAGUGUUAUGAAGAAAUUAUUAACACUGCUAAAGUGCACUUUUUAUGUUAUCUUUGUGAUAGAAAAUGAAAGGAAAUAAUGCUUUUGAAUUCCAUAAAUAAAAAUACAAUAUUUGAGAAGCAAUCCACAUUUACAUUGCACAGAUUUAAACUAUUUCAUGCUGCCAUGUAAAUGAUUAAAAAUUGUAUAAUGCACUAAUCUUUUGUUAAUUACCUUAGGAUUUUAAAAUGUUGAAGUCCUGUAAAUGGCAAAGAUCUUAACAAAAUGAAAAAAGAAAAAAUGGACAGAAAUACAAAUUAAACUGUUAAUUUUAAUAAAGUAUGGUAGCUUUAAUGUUACAGCUUCCUAAUGGAUUCUUGUACACUUGUGAGAAAGGUCUAUUAAAAACCUCAUAAAGCUUUGAAAGCAGAUAUUUGUUAUCCCCUAACUUUCAUUUGAUGACAAAAAAGUGUACGCAAGCAAGACAUAGGUUAACCAAGAAUUUAAAAACUACCACAUAUAAAGGGCCCUCACUAAAAAUGCUGCUAUGCAUAAUAUCAGAAUUGUUUGAAGUGGUCAUUAAGUUUGAUUAUUUGCAUUUAUGAAGGUAUUCAUACCUCUUAAUGUGUACAGCAAAUACUCCAACUUGACUCUGUUCAUGUUUAUUGGAAUUCAGUUCUCAGAUUUCCUAGCCAAUGCAAUCAACAUGCCUGAAGACCAACAGAUUGGUGAAAACUGUCUUGUAGAAAGAAACCUCACAAUUAUUUGCAUUUCUAAGUUCAGCUGGCAUAGCUACUUUGAAUACAGUGUUGCUGUACACUAACAGAAAAGGAAAAAAGAAUAUGUCUGAAAUGAUUAAGUUAAAUGUCUUCAUCAGGGACAAGAAAUCUUUGUACCUUUUUUGGGCCCCUGAAAAGGAAUUUAAUCAAGAAUGUGCUUUAAAAAUGAAUUGAAAAUGCAAGAAUUAUAAAAAGAACCCUUUUAUUUAAGUAAAGGUAUUUGAAAAAUGUUGAAUACUGUAUUAUUUUAGAAAUCUGUACUUUAUUGCAUUUUCCUUAGCUUCUCUGAAUGUGUGAAUGUCAUUUAUAUAAAGAGAAUCCUUAUUUCAUUUUCUUAGCACCUAGCAAAUUACUGAGGGAAUAUAGUUGUUCUUACAAAAACCAACACCAUUUAUUGAUUUAGAGUAUAUGUCACUGACCUCUAUUGGGUAAUUUCAACGAUGUUUUGAAAUAUGUUAUUUUUUUCACCCUUACUGUAUGACCUGUUCCUCAGGAAAUUGCUUUUCUCUAGUUACAUUUGCUUUAAAUUAUCUUUUCUCAUAUGCUCUUACUUGUUUGUAUCUUAAUGUAGAGCUGUCAUACCUGGACUGCAUGAAUAUAGAUGACCACUGGGUGGAAACAAAGAUACACAGAAAACUUUAAUAUACUGCCAUCUUGUGGCUAUCUGAAUCUAUGUUUGGUAGCUCUACUUAAAUGUCAGUGCUGAGAGAGAAUAUUUAUAUCUCAGGAUUAAAAUGAGGGGUCCUUGGUGUUCUCUGAGUUUGAUUGUUUUCUUGCAGACAUUUCAUUACCCAAACUACGUAACAUAAUCAGUGCUAGUGGAGAAUGAGGUUUGCUUUCAUUUUAUAUUCUAGGGCUUUGCCCUGUCAGUAUGGGUGGGGGUAGUCUUGGGCUGUUGGUUGGGCUGUUUACUCUUUAGUUGAGCUUUGGUUGGGAUGUUUAGCUUGUUUGGUAGUUCCUUGAUUGAGACAUUAUUUGCUUUUUGAUUCUUAAUCUCACGCUAAUCUUGGUGUUACUCUCUGCUCAUCUGGGUGUUUAUUGCUGGUGAGGAGAUGUUCUGAUCUAGCAGAUCGCAAUAGCAGAGCCCAUCCAUGAACACCCACUAGCAGUCAAAAUAAAUAGUGAAACCAUAGUUUCAACUGGUAAACUGCCCAUCCUAGACCAAGCCAAGUCCCUAAAACACUAGAGAAUUCCUGGAAGCAUAGUACCCUGACAAAUCAGCCAUCAACAGGCACAUAGGAAUAAACAAUUUCUUUUUACCAUUCAAAAGAGACAAUCAACAAACCAAAGUCAGACCAGAACACUUCCUUAUCAGCAAUCAUAUUGUGAAGCAUGCAGACGACAUGGCAGUCCGUCUGGUAAACUCACAAGAUUCCUUUUUCUUGCCAUGCACAUGUAAACAGUACAUAACCCGAACUAUACUUUGUCAUAUAUAUGGGCAUAUGCAUAAUUCUGUAUUUAUUUUUGUCAUACGUAGUGUUCAUUGGUGGUGACCCUUUGAGAGCUGAAUGUAAUGAAAUUUCAUUUUAAUGUAUGCCGAUUAGUGUACAUUCAAAGUAACAAUAAAGUUAUUCUAUUCUAAUAAACACCCAGAUGAGCAGAGAUUAAUGCCAAGAUUGACAUGAGACUAAUAAUCAAGAAGCAAACAAUAACCCAAUCAAGGAAUUGCCAAACAAGCUAAUAAUAAACAGCCCAAAUGAAGAACCACGGAGAACACUCCCACCAGCACUCAUAGGGCAUGCCACUACUAGAGUAUAAAAUGAGAGCAAGCCCCACUCUCUACUAGCACUGAUGUUACCUAGUUUGGGUAAUGAAGCAUCUGCAAGAAAACAACCAAGCUCUGAGACCAUAACGAUCCCUUAAAUGUCAGUGAAUGGAAAAAAACCUUGACUGCUAUCUAGAUGAUUUAUUUGCAGUUCUGCUUUCCACUGUCUGAUAAUCAGGUACAUAUAAUAGAAAUUUGAAUUAGGAAUACAGCAAGCUGCCUUGUAAUUGGACUAACUAGGAAUAUAUUUUGAGCAAAUGUUGUUCUCUGUCUGCUUUUUUAAAAGUACCAAAGGUUAAACCUAGUCUAUUAACUUGCAUUUUAUCCCUGACUUAUACUUCAUUUUAUUAUUCUGUUACAACUUUUAGUUAGUAGCUGCUUGCUAACUAUAUGUAUACUUACAUGGAUAAAAAAAACUAAUGCAGGCAGUAAUUUCACUAAAAAUAACUCUAGGCAUACUACUAUCUUAAUUACACUUCCAGGAAGUUAAAUUGCAUAAGAAUUUUGUUGGCUGUUCUUCAUGCAUUUGUAUGGGAACAGUCUCACAGACAUCAUAUGUAAGAUAGCAGGAUAUUCCACCCCAGGAUUGAGGUCAUACUAUACCAAAUAGUCUCCGUGUUUGCUUUGAGCUACCAGAGUCUUCUGAUGCAUUUAGCCAGUGAACACUUUUUCUUGUUUGUUACAAGUUACUCAAGUACAUUUAUUUCAUUUACUUUUUUUGAAAAAAUGAAGACAUUAAAAUCUUGCCCUGAACAUUAAAGACACCAGGCUGAACAGUUGUUCAGUAGUUUUUGAUUUUUCAAGACCUGAUAGUCAUCAACAUGCCAAGAUUAUCUGUCAGUAAGUGCUUUGACUUCUUGUAACCUCAUGCUUGUUUCAUGAGGACCACACAUCAGAGGUUUCCCAACCUUUUGGGCACCAGGGACCGGUUACGUGGAGAGAGGUUUUUCCAUGGACCAGAGGGGGCGUGGUUUUGUGUUCUGCCUGCACCCUGCAGAUGGGGCUUUGCUUGUUUGUGCGGAUCGGUUGCUGGCAUGGCGUGGCCUGAUACUGGUCCACGGACUGAGGGUUGGGGACCCCUGCUCUACAAUAUAACUUUUUUUGUAAGAGGAACUGCAAAGUAAUGCAAAUAGACAUUAGAAAAGACAAAGGCUGUAAAUAACUGUUGUGCACACUCAGAUCUCACAGAAAUACAAAGAGCUUAAUCACAUUGAUCCAUUCCCCCCAAAUAAAUUGUAUUUGCAAUUGUUAAUACUUAUUGUUUAAUCUAUUUGUUGUUUUAAAAUUUCAAUAAAAUGAUUUUAAAAUAUG
Crotalus tigris (Tiger rattlesnake) is the source of this 4486-nucleotide long non-coding RNA. RefSeq lists it as uncharacterized. Lineage: Eukaryota; Metazoa; Chordata; Lepidosauria; Squamata; Viperidae. The transcript is spliced from 2 exons. The record is from RefSeq and is a predicted model, not a curated record.